CAGUAGCCACGGGAAUACGUAGGUGGCAAGCGUUGUCCGGAAUUAUUGGGCGUAAAGGGCGCGUAGGCGGUUCGUACAGUCUUAUGUGAAAUCUAUGGGCUCAACCCAUAGUCUGCAUAGGAAACUGUCGGGCUUGAGAGUGGGAGAGGUGAGUGGAAUUUCCGGUGUAGCGGUGAAAUGCGUAGAUAUCGGAAGGAACACCUGUGGCGAAAGCGGCUCACUGGACCAUUUCUGACGCUGAUGCACGAAAGCUAGGGGAGCGAACAGGAUUAGAUACCCGGGUAGUCCCUGUCUCUUAUAC
Molecule: ribosomal RNA, 301 nt
Filed under: uncultured bacterium
Lineage: Bacteria
Description: partial 16S ribosomal RNA
Rfam family: Bacterial small subunit ribosomal RNA
Source: RNAcentral